GCCCCAGUAGCAUAGCCUGGUAAUGCGCUUGCCUCGUAAGCAAGAGAUCGCGGGUUCAAAUCCCGCCUGGGGCU
Molecule: transfer RNA, 74 nt
Filed under: Thermoproteota archaeon
Lineage: Archaea; Thermoproteati; Thermoproteota
Description: Crenarchaeota archaeon (hot springs metagenome) tRNA-Thr
Rfam family: tRNA
About the family: Transfer RNA (tRNA) molecules are approximately 80 nucleotides in length. Their secondary structure includes four short double-helical elements and three loops (D, anti-codon, and T loops). Further hydrogen bonds mediate the characteristic L-shaped molecular structure. tRNAs have two regions of fundamental functional importance: the anti-codon, which is responsible for specific mRNA codon recognition, and the 3' end, to which the tRNAs corresponding amino acid is attached (by aminoacyl-tRNA synthetases). tRNAs cope with the degeneracy of the genetic code in two manners: having more than one tRNA (with a specific anti-codon) for a particular amino acid; and 'wobble' base-pairing, i.e. permitting non-standard base-pairing at the 3rd anti-codon position.
Source: RNAcentral